UACGGAGGGUGCAAGCGUUGUCCGGAAUCACUGGGCGUAAAGGGCGCGUAGGCGGCUCGGUAAGUAGGGGGUGAAAUCCUGCGGCUCAACCGCAGGGCUGCCUUCUAAACUGUCGAGCUCGAGCACGGUAGAGGCAGAUGGAAUUCCCGGUGUAGCAGUGAAAUGCGUAGAGAUCGGGAGGAACAUCCGUGGCGAAGGCGACUACCUGGACCAGCACUGACACUGAGGCACGAAAGCGUGGGGAGCAAACAGG
This 253-nucleotide ribosomal RNA is filed under the name uncultured bacterium. RNAcentral describes it as "partial 16S ribosomal RNA". It matches the Rfam family "Bacterial small subunit ribosomal RNA", at positions 524 to 776 of the family's 1533-position model. The record is from RNAcentral.